GGGCCCGUUCGCAGGUUGUUCUGACCCAAUCAGGUCCCGAAGUGAAGCAGCCCCGGGAAUCCACCCAGCUGAAAUGCACCAUGAGCGGGUUUGUUCCUAACGACCGGUGGAUGGCUUGGGUCAGGCAGCAGCCGGGAAAGGGACUGGAGUGGCUGGUCCGCUAUCACCAAUCUUCAGUCACAAAUUACCACUCCCCCUCCGUCCAGGGCCGAUUCACAGCCUCCAAGGACAGCUCCAACUUCUACCUGCAAAUGACCAGCCUGAAAGCGGAGGACACCGCUGUGUAUUACUGCGCGAGAGACACUGACACACAGUGA
Chrysemys picta bellii (western painted turtle) is the source of this 317-nucleotide non-coding RNA. The record is from the annotation of a RefSeq genome assembly. NCBI's taxonomy places the organism in Eukaryota, Metazoa, Chordata, Testudines, Emydidae.